GCCUGUUCGGGUCCAGGGAGGCAAUGUAUAGAGGACAGUUCCUCUUCCAAUGCCCCUGCUUCUUGCAAAAGAAGCACUCCGCCUGGCUCUGUUCGGGCUUGCACUUCUUGGUCUGACCCUGUGCAGAUGUCCCAGCAUGCAGCUGCACCUUCUUAUUCUUCUUCUUCUUGUUCUUCUUCUUCCCUUUCUUAAAGGGUCGACGACCAGAAGAAGACCCUCCCACAACAUUCACCGACUCCUUAUAGAGCUGGUGAUCCUUCUCAAAGUUCUGCAGCAACCCCAAUAAGCCGUGGUAGUUCACUGUAGGCUUUGUCAUCCGAAAAUGAGUAAGGAAGGGGAGGAAGGACUUGGGCAAUGAAUUAAGGAUCGC
Molecule: long non-coding RNA, 370 nt
Filed under: Elaeis guineensis (African oil palm)
Lineage: Eukaryota; Viridiplantae; Streptophyta; Magnoliopsida; Arecales; Arecaceae
Description: long non-coding RNA (EGUI_LNC054631)
Source: RNAcentral